CGUCCUCUCAGCUCUGGGAAGGGUGGGGUGGUCAUGAAGUCCUGAGAGAGCAGAGGGACACACCAACUUCUCUUGUUGGUUCCCUCAACCCUGCCCAUACCUAUGGGUAAUCAGAGAUGGAUUCAGUCUCCAGUUAGGAUCCUGAUCAAGGUAUUUGCAUGGGGGAUUCCAUGCAGAUGGUGUAUAGAGAGAAGAUAGACACAAGGGAUCUUCAUAGCCAAGGACUGGAUUUGAACAAGUCAGUCUCCAGCUAUGUUUUAGAGACUGAGGACUGUGCCCGUCAUCCCUUAGAGCUUCUCUCUGGGCCACUGGCUUGAAGCGCACAUCUCAGGGAAAAAGGUCAGUGUGAUUCCCUUAUUUCUUUGUGGAAAGACCUCAGUAGUCAAAAGUGUUUGCCUGCGUUAUUUGUCUGAAAAGGAUCUUCUCUAGGACAGCUAGGUCCACAGGACAGCACCAAGAGUUACUCUGCACGCUUAUAGUACCUGUUUAUGAACAGAAACAGAGGCAAUAUUCACAUGAAAGCUCAAAUGUGGAUCUCUCCUACCAUAGUCACGUCUUCACAAGCUGACAGCCCUCUCAAUUCUGAGAUUUGUUAUUCAGCCUUUUCCCAAUAGGAUCUACAAAGCACCUCUUGACCAUUUAUCACGCAUGGAACCAACAUGUCAAAUUCCUCAAUAACUGAUUCCCGCCUAGGAUCACACUCAUUGACUAGCUCCACCAAUUCUUACAAUUCAUUCAGGCUUUGCUACAAGCAUACAGCUUUGCUAGAAGUAGAUUUCUUCUAGGAAAUUUCAUGCUACUGAGAGGUUGUGUGGCAGAGCCAUGUUGCCAUUCUUCCAGCAUGACUUGAUAGCUAAGUUGAACACUAUCCCAAGGAGAUGCCUCCUUGACAAUUUACACUACAAAGUGAAUCAUAACCCUGACCCUGGAGACUGCUAUAACGGGCUCCUGUGAGAGUUCUAUUUGCAGAACCCAGAAUUCACAACGGAACAUCAACAUAUCCAAAAGACAAGUUUCAAUGAACAGAUUCUCAGCAAAAGGACUCUAAGGAUGCAGAGGAAGGGAAGUCGCCCAAUCUGGGAAGGAGGAAGGGGGUAGUGAGAAGUUGUUCCAUUUAGAACACUGAGGCCCUGGCUAAGACUCCUUGUUCCAGGGACGGACAGAGAAACAUGAAAUGCCUGCUCCACAAUGCUAUGCUGAACAACCAGAGGAAGUUAUAGGAUCUCACAGACUAUUAGAACCGGACUGAGAAAUCCACUUAAAUAUGAAGUCAGUUUAGAAAGGAGAAAGGUGUGACAUGUUCAAUCAAAAGAAACCUGGAGCUGACUACAGCAGAGAAAGUUGUCAUGAAUGAUAGUGAGCAUUACAUGCAAGGACAGUCCAAGAAGUCGUCUUUGUACCUAAGAGCAUCAAGAUGAAAUGUGAACUGAUAAGACAAAUCCACUCCUGUAGUUGAGGAUGUCAACACCAUCAGUAAUGGGCAGACCCAGAAGGCAUGGACAUAACUGAUCAGUCAACUGGGCUUUGUGACCACUUAUACAAUAGUUUGUU
This 1551-nucleotide long non-coding RNA is filed under the name Pan troglodytes (chimpanzee). RNAcentral's name for it is "long non-coding RNA NONPTRT003665". Lineage: Eukaryota; Metazoa; Chordata; Mammalia; Primates; Hominidae. The record is from RNAcentral.